Molecule: non-coding RNA, 48 nt
Filed under: unclassified sequences
Source: RNAcentral
CCUUGACGGGAAUAAACCCGACAAAGCCAAGACAAGGAGAUAGAUAUG